Molecule: ribosomal RNA, 482 nt
Filed under: uncultured bacterium
Lineage: Bacteria
Description: bacterial SSU rRNA
Rfam family: Bacterial small subunit ribosomal RNA
Source: RNAcentral
ACGAACGCUGGCGGCGUGCCUAAUACAUGCAAGUCGUACGAGAAAGUCCUUUGGGACGAGUAGAGUGGCGCACGGGAGAGUAAUACAUCGGAACGUACCUUUUGGUGGGGGAUAACCACGGGAAACUGUGGCUAAAACCGCAUAAUGACGUGAGUCUAAAGCAGGCCUCUAUUUAUAAGCUUGUGCCAACAGAGCGGCCGAUGCCCCAUUAGCUAGUUGGUAGGGUAAUGGCCUACCAAGGCGACGAUGGGUAGGUGGUCUGAGAGGAUGAUCACCCUCACUGGGACUGAGACACGGCCCAGACUCCUACGGGAGGCAGCAGUAGGGAAUUUUGCACAAUGGGCGCAAGCCUGAUGCAGCAACGCCGCGUGAGUGAAGAAGGCUCUUGGGUUGUAAAGCUCUUUCGGCCAAGAAGAAGGGUUUGCCUGCGAACAGCUUGCAGAUCUGACGGUAUUGGAAGAAGAAGCACCUGCUAACUUCGU